This 253-nucleotide ribosomal RNA is filed under the name uncultured bacterium. RNAcentral describes it as "partial 16S ribosomal RNA". It matches the Rfam family "Bacterial small subunit ribosomal RNA", at positions 524 to 776 of the family's 1533-position model. The record is from RNAcentral.
GACGUAGGGCGCGAGCGUUGUCCGGAUUUAUUGGGCGUAAAGAGCUCGUAGGCGGCCUGUCGCGUCCGCUGUGAAAUCCCGGGGCUUAACCCUGGGCUGGCUUUCGAUACGGGCAGACUAGAGGUAUGCAGGGGAGAACGGAAUUCCUGGUGUAGCGGUGAAAUGCGCAGAUAUCAGGAGGAACACCGGUGGCGAAGGCGGUUCUCUGGGCAUUACCUGACGCUGAACUGCGAAAGCUAGGGGAGCGAACGGG